RNAcentral lists this ribosomal RNA (319 nucleotides) under uncultured eukaryote. Its description in RNAcentral is "partial 18S ribosomal RNA". It matches the Rfam family "Eukaryotic small subunit ribosomal RNA", at positions 1470 to 1796 of the family's 1831-position model. The record is from RNAcentral.
CCCUUAGAUGUUCUGGGCAGCACGCGCGCUACAAUGGUCUUCGCAAACGGAUGCAUUCUCGAAGGAGAAUGCCAAUCUUGGAAUCUAUGCCUUGGUCGGGACAGUUGCUUGCAAUUUUUCGACUCGAACCAGGAAUUCCUUGUAAUCGUGAUUCAUCACAUCACGAUGAAUGCGUCCCUGCCCUUUGUACACACCGCCCGUCGCUCCUACCGAUCGAAGAGUUAGGUGAAUUGUUUUGAUCGAUAAGAUUUGACUAUGGUUAACUCUCGUUGUGAAAUUCUGUGAAUCUGACUGUUUAGAGGAAGGAAAAGUCGUAACA